Molecule: ribosomal RNA, 376 nt
Filed under: uncultured organism
Description: bacterial SSU rRNA
Rfam family: Bacterial small subunit ribosomal RNA
Source: RNAcentral
CGUAGGGUGCAAGCGUUAAUCGGAAUUACUGGGCGUAAAGCGUGCGCAGGCGGUUGUGCAAGACGGAUGUGAAAUCCCCCGGGCUUAACCUCGGGAAUUGCAUUUGUGACUGCACGGCUAGAGUGUGUCAGAGGGGGGGUAGAAUUCCGACGUGUAGCAGUGAAAUGCGUAGAUAUGUGGAGGAAUACCGAUGGCGAAGGCAGCCCCCUGGGAUAACCACUGACGCUCAUGCACGAAAGCGUGGGGAGCAAACAGGAUUAGAUACCCUGGUAGUCCACGCCCUAAACGAUGUCUACUAGUUGUCGGGUCUUAAUUGACUUGGUAACGCAGCUAACGCGUGAAGUAGACCGCCUGGGGAGGUACGGUCGCAAGAUUA